GACGAACGCUGGCGGCGCGCCUAACACAUGCAAGUCGAACGAGCGAGAGAGAGCUUGCUUUCUCAAGCGAGUGGCGAACGGGUGAGUAACGCGUGAGGAACCUGCCUCAAAGAGUGGGACAACAGUUGGAAACGACUGCUAAUACCGCAUAAGCCCACAGGUCGGCAUCGACCAGAGGGAAAAGGAGCAAUCCGCUUUGAGAUGGCCUCGCGUCCGAUUAGCUAGUUGGUGAGGUAACGGCCCACCAAGGCAACGAUCGGUAGCCGGACUGAGAGGUUGAACGGCCACAUUGGGACUGAGACACGGCCCAGACUCCUACGGGAGGCAGCAGUGGGGAAUAUUGCACAAUGGGGGAAACCCUGAUGAAGCGACGCCGCGUGGAGGAAGAAGGUCUUCGGAUUGUAAACUCCUGUUGUUGAGGAAGAUAAUGACGGUACUCAACAAGGAAGUGACGGCUAACUACGUG
Molecule: ribosomal RNA, 466 nt
Filed under: uncultured bacterium
Lineage: Bacteria
Description: partial 16S ribosomal RNA
Rfam family: Bacterial small subunit ribosomal RNA
Source: RNAcentral